RNAcentral lists this ribosomal RNA (428 nucleotides) under uncultured bacterium. RNAcentral describes it as "bacterial SSU rRNA". It matches the Rfam family "Bacterial small subunit ribosomal RNA", at positions 355 to 775 of the family's 1533-position model. The record is from RNAcentral.
UGGGGAAUAUUGGACAAUGGGGGGAACCCUGAUCCAGCGAUGCCGCGUGUGCGAAGAAGGCCUGCGGGUUGUAAAGCACUUUGGUUGGGGAAGAAGGUUGGUCGAUAAAUAGUCGAUUGAAUUGACGUUACCCAAAGAACAAGCACCGGCUAACUCUGUGCCAGCAGCCGCGGUAAUACAGAGGGUGCGAGCGUUGUUCGGAUUCAUUGGGCGUAAAGGGUGCGUAGGUGGCGUCGUAAGUCAGGUGUGAAAUCUCGGGGCUUAACUCCGAAACUGCAUUUGAUACUGCGGUGCUCGAGGACUGGAGAGGAGACUGGAAUUUACGGUGUAGCAGUGAAAUGCGUAGAGAUCGUAAGGAAGACCAGUGGCGAAGGCGGGUCUCUGGACAGUUCCUGACACUGAGGCACGAAGGCCAGGGGAGCAAACGG